RNAcentral lists this ribosomal RNA (207 nucleotides) under uncultured bacterium. Its description in RNAcentral is "partial 16S ribosomal RNA". It matches the Rfam family "Bacterial small subunit ribosomal RNA", at positions 568 to 774 of the family's 1533-position model. The record is from RNAcentral.
CUCGUAGGUGGUUUGUCGCGUUGUUCGUGAAAACUCACAGCUUAACUGUGGGCGUGCGGGCGAUACGGGCAGACUAGAGUACUGCAGGGGAGACUGGAAUUCCUGGUGUAGCGGUGGAAUACGCAGAUAUCAGGAGGAAUACCGGUGGCGAAGGCGGGUCUCUGGGCAGUAACUGACGCUGAGGAGCGAAAGCGUGGGUAGCGAACA